AUGUCCUGUCAUGAAGCCCAUUUCUGGAUCUUACCUCUUUUUCAAGUUCUUGCAGUCCAAUGCUUUUACAAACUGUUGCCAGUUCUUCCUCAUCUAGAUAACCACUGCUCCCAACCCCAAGCUCUUCCCAGAUUCCCCGGACCUGGUUCUCAGUUAUAUCCAAGGUGGUAUGAGAGGUGGUGUGUCAGGUACUGCAUUCGAGCAACUUAACUGUGGAUAAUUUUGAAAAUCUAGACAAACAACAACAAAAAAAUCAAGUAAAUUAGAUUAUAAUAGCAAUAGCAACAAACACCUCAAGUUUAAAUCUGGUCAACCUGUAUAAGUCUUACUAUCUCAUCGAACCCCAUCUUAAAAUCCUUUUCUUUUUCAUUGCUAUAUUCCUAAGAAAUAGUAGUCUAUAUUGUCUACCUCUACUUCCUUCUCACCAAUCCUUUGCCAUCUAGCUUCCAAUCUCCACAAAUUCUAUCAAUCGUCAUGCACUUAUUAAGCACCUACUAUAUCCCAAGCCCUGUGCUAGGCUCUCAAGAUACAAAGAAAACAAGUGAAAAUGGUCCCCAUCAUAAAGGACCCCCUGAGGAAGAAGGAAAGGGAUUUUAUUAAAAAAGAUAUGUGAUCUUUUAAUUGCUAUACCUGAAGACUUACCUGUUCUUAGCCCAUGUUGUCCUUAACCUCUGUGUAGCUUGACAACAACUACCUUUGUGUUUCACUUUACUCACAGACCCUCUUAUCAUCAGACAUCUGAACCCCACACUAUGUUUGUUCCCUUCAGCCCUGGAACUUCUGGCCUGGUGCACUUCCAUCCUCUGCAUCCCCUUUGAUGAGUGCCUUGAUGUGUUUCAUUCACUAGAAGCCUCUGACAGUGGAUCACUUUCUCUCUGGUCAUCUUCUCACCAGUUGUCUUGCUGCUAGCCUUUAUAUCUUCCUGGCUCUCCUUCAAAACCCAAUUUAAAUGCUACCUUAUUAAAAAAAGCUUUCCAUGAUCCCCACCACCUUUUAGUCUCCCAGAUUAGUGAGCUCUAUGAGGAAAGGGUCAAUGUCUUAUCUAAAUCUUAUAUCUCCCCCAGGAUCUAACCUAAUAUUCUGCAUGUACAAUAUUUAUUUACUAGAACUGAUUAUGAGAAUUCCUAUAACAGGGCUGUCCCUUCUUUUUCUUUCGUUCCUGUAGGUCAUGCCUUCUGUACUCCAAGAUGAUGCCAUGUAGCAACGCUUGGCAAGGAAAUGAAUUUACCUUUUCCAGACCCUUCCUAUUAAUAUGCCAUAUACCUAACUUUCUAUCUCCCUUCCCAUACCACAUGAAUGUUAACACCAUUCCACUUCUCAUUUCCCAUUAGUAGGGAGGAAAAUACAAAUUGAUUUUCAUUAAUCUUCACAUUAUCACUGUCAAGUUGUGGUACACAUUAUGACUUAUUUCCCAAAAUGAAGAAUUGAGGCACAAAGAUAUUAAAUGACUUAACUCAAGUUAUAUAAUGAUUUAGAGCCAUGGCCAAGAUUAGAAUCAAGAGUUGUGAUGAAAAAUUCCCUACCCAUUUAUAUGAGGAUUAAUUUUAAUGUUAGCAGUAGUUUUGAGUUAAUCAUAAUUGUAAUUCAGUAAUGUUAGCAUAAGUGAUUAUUUUAGAGGGUCUUUUGUGAUUAUUUUAGCAUAAGUUUUAUAGUAAGAUAACUGCUUGAAUAUAGUUAAUCAUUGCUAGCAUAGGCCUUAGUUUUGGGCUUUCGCCUCAAAAUUGCUAUAUCACAUACCCUCAGCAAUCAUGGUCUUGAACUUGUGACUGGAUCUUCAUUAGCAUAGAGGCUUUUGCCUGGUGACUCCCUUUUUCCUUUGUAUAUACCCGAUACCUCAUUAAGCUUUUGCCCCACUUUGGGGCCUGGCACCCCCUCCUUACCCUAGUCAUCUUAGUAUACAUCAUCCUUGAUAUCAUCAGGCUUAGAAAGUAGGAUUCAGGCUCACCCCUCUUUGUCUAUCAAGUGACUUUCAAGUCAUCACCAAGUGACUUCUUCUGCCAAUGAGAAGUAUUUCCUGAUUACUUCAACCAAUCUGCAUCCCUCACAAGACUUGGGGUCUUUUGAUCUUGACCAGAAGUCUGGAUUUAUUGUGAGACCAGCCCUCUUACAAUAAGCCUAUUUCUUGAUGGCUUGGAGAUUCAGUUUCUUUUAAUUGCAUUCCUCUGGUUAGAAAUUACACAACAGGUACCAGAUUCAAGAGUCUGUGCUUUCUCUUUAACAGAUUAUAUUAUUCUAGAAUUUGAAUCAUUGUGAGUAUAUGUUGCAAGGAGAGCAAAGCAGAAUAAAGAUUAACAGCACAAUGAAGGGAAUUUCA
This is a long non-coding RNA of Monodelphis domestica (gray short-tailed opossum), 2314 nucleotides long. NCBI's taxonomy places the organism in Eukaryota, Metazoa, Chordata, Mammalia, Didelphimorphia, Didelphidae. The record is from Ensembl.